RNAcentral lists this long non-coding RNA (348 nucleotides) under Homo sapiens (human). RNAcentral's name for it is "novel transcript, antisense to CERS4". Lineage: Eukaryota; Metazoa; Chordata; Mammalia; Primates; Hominidae. The record is from RNAcentral.
AGAUCACAGGUCACUCAGUCAGCAAGGGGGACAGUCAAGGAUAGAAGCUUCCUUGGGUGAGGAGGGGGCUGCUCUGCUCCCACAGUGGGCUCAGGGUUCAUACGGUCCUGCGGAGGCCUCCCCAGGCCUACCUCUGCUGAUUAAAGUUUCCCCAAAAAGCAAGCUCCUCCUUCUACUUGCCCUCUAAGCUUUCGGGGUACUAGAAGCUAAUCAUGCAAUUUUUCUUUUUUCUUUUUCUUUUUUUUUUUUGAGACGGAGUUUUGCUCUUGUUGCCCAGGCUGGAGUACAGUGCGAGACUCCAUCUCAAAAAAAAAUAAAUAGGGCCGGGCGCGGUGGCUUACGCCUGUA